This 464-nucleotide ribosomal RNA is filed under the name uncultured bacterium. RNAcentral describes it as "bacterial SSU rRNA". It matches the Rfam family "Bacterial small subunit ribosomal RNA", at positions 28 to 507 of the family's 1533-position model. The record is from RNAcentral.
GGUGAACGCUGGCGGUAUGGUUUAAUACAUGCAAGUCGAGCGCCCCUCACUUUGUUUUCAAUUUUAUUGACGAUAAAGUGAGGGGAGCGGCGAACGGGUGAGUAACACGUUGGAAUCUGCCCCGAACUCAGGGAUAACUUCGCUAAGGCGGAGCUAAUACCGGAUAGUCCCGAAAGGGUAAAGUUUUUUCGGUUCGGGAGGAUCCUGCGGCCUAUCAGCUUGUUGGUAAGGUAACGGCUUACCAAGGCUAUGACGGGUAGCUGGUCUGAGAGGAUGACCAGUCACAAUGGGACUGAGACACGGCCCAUACUCCUACGGGAGGCAGCAGUAAAGAAUCUUCCACAAUGGACGAAAGUCUGAUGGAGCAAUACCGCGUGAAGGAUGAAGGUCGAAAGAUUGUAAACUUCUUUUCUGAGGGAAGAAUUAUGACGGUACCUCAGGAAUAAGCACCGGCUAACUCCGUG